Molecule: ribosomal RNA, 253 nt
Filed under: uncultured bacterium
Lineage: Bacteria
Description: partial 16S ribosomal RNA
Rfam family: Bacterial small subunit ribosomal RNA
Source: RNAcentral
UACGUAGGGGGCAAGCGUUGUCCGGAAUCAUUGGGCGUAAAGAGCGCGUAGGCGGCCCGAUAAGUCCGCUGUGAAAGUCAAGGGCUUAACCCUUGAAUGCCGGUGGAAACUGUCGGGCUAGAGUCCGGAAGAGGAGAGUGGAAUUCCUGGUGUAGCGGUGAAAUGCGCAGAUAUCAGGAAGAACACCCGUGGCUAAGGCGGCUCUCUAGUACGGUACUGACGCUGAGACGCGAAAGCGUGGGGAGCGAACAGG